This 468-nucleotide ribosomal RNA is filed under the name uncultured Pseudomonadota bacterium. RNAcentral describes it as "bacterial SSU rRNA". It matches the Rfam family "Bacterial small subunit ribosomal RNA", at positions 8 to 522 of the family's 1533-position model. The record is from RNAcentral. Lineage: Bacteria; Pseudomonadati; Pseudomonadota.
AGAGUUUGAUCAUGGCUCAGAGCGAACGCUGGCGGCAGGCCUAAAACAUGCAAGUCGAACGCCGUAGCAAUACGGAGUGGCAGACGGGUGAGUAACACGUGGGAACGUGCCCUUUGGUUCGGAACAACACAGGGAAACUUGUGCUAAUACCGGAUAAGCCCUUACGGGGAAAGAUUUAUCGCCGAAGGAUCGGCCCGCGUCUGGUUAGCUAGUUGGUGAGGUAACGGCUCACCAAGGCUACGAUCAGUAGCUGGUCUGAGAGGAUGAUCAGCCACACUGGGACUGAGACACGGCCCAGACUCCUACGGGAGGCAGCAGUUAGGAAUCUUGGACAAUGGGCGCAAGCCUGAUCCAGCCAUGCCGCGUGAGUGAUGAAGGCCUUAGGGUUGUAAAGCUCUUUCAGCGGGGAAGAUAAUGACGGUACCCGCAGAAGAAGCCCCGGCUAACUUCGUGCCAGCAGCCGCGGUA